UUGACCUCAAAUCAGGCAGGACUACCCGCUGAACUUAAGCAUA
Molecule: ribosomal RNA, 43 nt
Filed under: Hydnellum sp. K03
Lineage: Eukaryota; Fungi; Basidiomycota; Agaricomycetes; Thelephorales; Thelephoraceae
Description: partial 28S ribosomal RNA
Source: RNAcentral